GGGGGUGUCCUGGCUUCGACGGGGGUUGCGAAGUCGGCCGGUGCAUGCCGAGGGGGCAGCUUUCCUCGUUAAUCCAGCGGCAAACUCAUAGUUGCCAACGACGACAACUACGCUCUGGCCGCCUAAGGCCUAGCCCCGAACCCACUUGUGCCCGUGCUCGUGGAUGUAGGGUCAUCAUCACGGGAUGGCCGGCGGCGGCGACCCGUCAACCGCCGGCGAGAUGAAGCGGGUGUGUCUGCCGGUGCGCUUCGCGCGAUGUGUUGCCGGCACGACGAGACAGAACAUCGCGCUAAGCAUGUAGUACCGGAGACGGAGUGCUCUCGGACGCGGGUUCGACUCCCGCCACCUCCACCA
RNAcentral lists this transfer-messenger RNA (354 nucleotides) under Arenimonas fontis. RNAcentral's name for it is "Standard tmRNA". It matches the Rfam family "transfer-messenger RNA". Rfam says of the family: Bacterial tmRNA, also known as 10Sa RNA or SsrA, is named for its dual tRNA and mRNA-like properties. Its role is to liberate the mRNA from a stalled ribosome. The record is from Rfam by way of RNAcentral. Lineage: Bacteria; Pseudomonadati; Pseudomonadota; Gammaproteobacteria; Lysobacterales; Lysobacteraceae.